RNAcentral lists this ribosomal RNA (440 nucleotides) under uncultured bacterium. RNAcentral describes it as "partial 16S ribosomal RNA". It matches the Rfam family "Bacterial small subunit ribosomal RNA", at positions 338 to 795 of the family's 1533-position model. The record is from RNAcentral.
CCUACGGGAGGCAGCAGUGGGGAAUAUUGCACAAUGGUGGGAACACUGAUGCAGCGACGCCGCGUGAGUGAAGAAGUAUCUCGGUACGUAAAGCUCUAUCAGCAGGGAAGAAAAUGACGGUACCUGACUACGAAGCCGCGGCUAACUACGUGCCAGCAGCCGCGGUAAUACGUAGGGGGCAAGCGUGAUCCGGAUUUACUGGGUGUAAAGGGGGCGUAGACGGCACUGCAAGUCCGGAGUUAAAGCCCAAGGCCUAACCAUGGGACUGCUCUGGAAACUGGGGGUCUCGAGUGCGGGAGGGGCAUGCGGAAUGCGUAGUGUAGCGGUGAAAUGCGUAGAUAUCAGGAGGAACACCGGCGGCGAAGGCAGCCUGCUGGCUCCACACUGACGUUGAGGCUCGAAAGCGUGGGGAGCAAACAGGAUUAGAUACCCGGGUAGUC